GGCGGCAGGCUUAACACAUGCAAGUCGAACGACAUAGUGGCAGACGGGUGAGUAACGCGUGGAAACGUACCUUUCACUACGGAAUAGCUCUUGGAAACGAGUGGUAAUACCGUAUACGCCCUUCGGGGGAAAGAUUUAUCGGUGAAAGAUCGGUCCGCGUUAGAUUAGCUAGUUGGUGAGGUAAGAGCUCACCAAGGCGACGAUCUAUAGCUGGUCUGAGAGGAUGAUCAGCCACACUGGGACUGAGACACGGCCCAGACUCCUACGGGAGGCAGCAGUGGGGAAUAUUGCACAAUGGGCGAAAGCCUGAUGCAGCCAUGCCGCGUGAAUGAUGAAGGCCUUAGGGUUGUAAAAUUCUUUCGCUAGGGAUGAUAAUGACAGUACCUAGUAAAGAAGCCCCGGCUAACUUCGUGCCAGCAGCCGCGGUAAUACGAAGGGGGCUAGCGUUGUUCGGAAUUACUGGGCGUAAAGCGCACGUAGGCGGGUUAUUAAGUCAGAUGUGAAAUCCCAAGGCUCAACCUUGGAACUGCAUUUGAAACUGAUAGCCUAGAGAUCAGGAGAGGUUAGCGGAAUACCGAGUGUAGAGGUGAAAUUCGUAGAUAUUCGGUGGAACACCAGUGGCGAAGGCGGCUAACUGGACUGAUACUG
Molecule: ribosomal RNA, 648 nt
Filed under: alpha proteobacterium IMCC15040
Lineage: Bacteria; Pseudomonadati; Pseudomonadota; Alphaproteobacteria
Description: bacterial SSU rRNA
Rfam family: Bacterial small subunit ribosomal RNA
Source: RNAcentral